UACGUAGGGCGCGAGCGUUGUCCGGAAUUAUUGGGCGUAAAGGGCUCGUAGGCGGUCUGUCGCGUCGGGUGUGAAAACUCAGGGCUUAACCCUGAGCCUGCUUCCGAUACGGGCAGACUAGAGGUAUGCAGGGGAGAACGGAAUUCCUGGUGUAGCGGUGAAAUGCGCAGAUAUCAGGAGGAACACCGGUGGCGAAGGCGGUUCUCUGGGCAUUACCUGACGCUGAGGAGCGAAAGUGUGGGGAGCGAACAGG
RNAcentral lists this ribosomal RNA (253 nucleotides) under uncultured bacterium. RNAcentral's name for it is "partial 16S ribosomal RNA". It matches the Rfam family "Bacterial small subunit ribosomal RNA", at positions 524 to 776 of the family's 1533-position model. The record is from RNAcentral.